CAGCAGCCACGUUAAUACGUAGGGUGCGAGCGUUAAUCGGAAUUACUGGGCGUAAAGCGUGCGCAGGCGGUUGUGUAAGACAGGUGUGAAAUCCCCGGGCUUAACCUGGGAACUGCGCUUGUGACUGCACAGCUAGAGUAUGGCAGAGGGGGGUGGAAUUCCACGUGUAGCGGUGAAAUGCGUAGAGAUGUGGAGGAACACCGAUGGCGAAGGCAGCCCCCUGGGCCAAUACUGACGCUCAUGCACGAAAGCGUGGGGAGCAAACAGGAUUAGAUACCCCCGUAGUCCCUGUCUCUUAUAC
RNAcentral lists this ribosomal RNA (301 nucleotides) under uncultured bacterium. RNAcentral describes it as "partial 16S ribosomal RNA". It matches the Rfam family "Bacterial small subunit ribosomal RNA", at positions 509 to 807 of the family's 1533-position model. The record is from RNAcentral.